This 267-nucleotide ribosomal RNA is filed under the name uncultured Anoxybacillus sp. Its description in RNAcentral is "partial 16S ribosomal RNA". It matches the Rfam family "Bacterial small subunit ribosomal RNA", at positions 1113 to 1382 of the family's 1533-position model. Lineage: Bacteria; Bacillati; Bacillota; Bacilli; Caryophanales; Anoxybacillaceae. The record is from RNAcentral.
CGUUGCCAGCAUUCAGUUGGGCACUCUAAGGUGACUGCGGCUAAAAGUCGGAGGAAGUGGGGAUGACGUCAAAGUCAUCAUGCCCCUUAUGACCUGGGCUACACACGUGCUACAAUGGGCGGUACAAAGGGUCGCGAACCCGCGAGGGGGAGCCAAUCCCAAAAAGCCGCUCUCAGUUCGGAUUGCAGGCUGCAACUCGCCUGCAUGAAGCCGGAAUCGCUAGUAAUCGCGGAUCAGCAUGCCGCGGUGAAUACGUUCCCGGGCCUU